UUUAAGCGCACUCAUGAGUUUCCGUGUCCAAUUUUGAUCGUCCGUCUUAUUUGAACAUUUGUUAUGAGUAGUAUUUUUACUGUUAUUAGAUGAUAAAAAUAUGAAUAAUAAUUUAUGCGUGACUUAUGUUUUUUAUUUUUUAUUUUUUUAAAAAAAAGAUGGAUGAUUAAAGUUGAACACGGAAACUUAUGACUGCGCUUAAA
Non-coding RNA from Oryza glumipatula, 203 nucleotides. The record is from Rfam. NCBI's taxonomy places the organism in Eukaryota, Viridiplantae, Streptophyta, Magnoliopsida, Poales, Poaceae.